CCGACCUCCUCGCCCCGCCCCCUCCGUCCCGCCCGGGCUGCUCGCCCCGCCCCCGCGCGGCGCUGGGAGGCGGGAGCUGUCUCUGAGAACCUGCGGGAGAGCGCCCGGGCUUGCUGCUUCCCGGACCCGCGCGUCUCUCGAGCACCCUCGUCCCACCACCUUGUGAGGCCGUAGUGUUAUUUUUAUUUUUUAGAUCAGCAGACUGAGACUCGAGGUGACGUCACUCCGCAGAGAGGUUAGCUGACUUGAAGAAAACGGGUAUCUCCUCUUUCCAUUUCGCCCGUGUAAACAGCCGAACUGCCUAUUAUAAAAGCAUGGACUGCCAGCAUUGGAGUGGUCCUUAGAGGCCUAUUAUGAAAUCAUAGAAUGUCUGCAUUGGAAUCGCCUCACCUCCUUUUACCGCUGGAGAAGCCGACGGACAGACGGGCAGCGACCCCCGCCGUCGCACAACCCGUCUAGGCAGAGAGCGCAGGAGACGGGAGGGCGGCAGGGACACAUCUCCCAGCCAAGGACCUCCUGGGCCCGCAGAGGCCGCGACAGGUUCCCCCCACAGAGGGAACCAACUCUGCCGCAGGUUGAUGUGGACUUCAAGCCUGCAGAACGGAGAGCCCAUUUCCAUUGCUUAAAGCCACCUCGUUAGAGCACAGCAGACUGAGCCACCCAGAACUGGCCCCUCCGGUGGACCAGCCCCUGCGGAUUCACAGACCACUGGUCCUGGAAGGGACCUUGUCAAGCAGGCCCAUAAGACUUCAUUAUCAUGGUUGCCUGACCCAACACAACAUAUUUGGAGGAGGAGAGGGGACACUUUUAUUGUACCCCAUCACGUGGCUGAGUCAUUUGGCUCUCCAUUCACUGGAACAGACGACUAUGGACACCACCAUUGGGUUUCCCACCAAGGACAGAGUUCCAAAGCAACAGUGGCUUCCAUGGUUGGCUCACCCAGCCUGCCUGAGUCAUCAGCUAGGUCCACAGAGUAGAGAAGUGGGUAGUGCCCCCGCCUAACAUCUGGAAAAAUUCCCAAAAGUUGUGACUUCAUGACCACUGAGUCAGCAGCAACUCUUUUCUUGCCAAGAAUAGCACAUUGUUCUUUUCCUUUUCAGGUAAUCCCUCCCCGGAAAGAGAAGAUCACAGAUUUUGUCAUAUUAAAUACAUUGUAGAAAUUCAUGGUAGCAGGGGCAAGAUCAUUUAAACAAAACAGAAAGUUUCAGAGAGAGAAAAAGCCAAGGACAAAGAUUAAUCAUUUUUCUGCUUAAAAAAAAUGGCUUUGAUUUGCAACCAUGGAAUGCUCCACUGUUUCUCUUCUCUUCAAAGACAUCUACUGAAAGGAUUCCUUAACCUUACCAAGUGGCCAAAAUACUUUUCUGAGAAGAGUCACAGAGCAUAGGCCCCCCUAGGGUACACAGAGAUUUCAUUAGUCCCUAGAUGUUUCCUGAUCCUUUUAAAAACUGGUUAAAUUCAGAGACUCUAGGCAAUUACUUCUUUCAGAACCUGUGAGGCAAAAACGAAAGAAGAAGGCAGGACACGCAGUGUAACAAACCUUGGAAUGGACUUCGCCAGACUUCAUCAGAAGAAAGCAGUGCAAGAGGGGACUGCAGAGGAAAGCUGGGGCUUGGGAAACCAGCAGCAGGGGCCACGUGGGCAGGUGGUUUCUGUGUGAACCUCUGAUCUGUGCAACAUAAACAGGAAAUGUUGAAGGCUUCCAGUGCUCUUUUUUGAUGUCGAGAACAUUCUACGGCACAAAAGAGUUUGCCUCUCACUGUUUCUCAUAUAUGGAGGUUUUCUAAUCAGCAUCCUGAACAGAAUUGAAUUAAAAAUAAAAACC
Molecule: long non-coding RNA, 1822 nt
Filed under: Homo sapiens (human)
Lineage: Eukaryota; Metazoa; Chordata; Mammalia; Primates; Hominidae
Description: HSALNT0317459
Source: RNAcentral